This 403-nucleotide ribosomal RNA is filed under the name uncultured bacterium. Its description in RNAcentral is "partial 16S ribosomal RNA". It matches the Rfam family "Bacterial small subunit ribosomal RNA", at positions 29 to 526 of the family's 1533-position model. The record is from RNAcentral.
AACGAACGCUGGCGGCGUGCCUAAUACAUGCAAGUCGAACGCAGUGGGGACGGGUGAGUAACACGUGGGUAACCUCCCAUCAGAGGGGAUAACACUUGGAAACAGGUGCUAAACCGAUACUGGUGGAUGGACCCGCGGUGCAUUAGCUAGUUGGUGAGGUAACGGCUCACCAAGGCCACGAUGCAUAGCUGACCUGAGAGGAUGAUCAGCCACACUGGGACUGAGACACGGCCCAGACUCCUACGGGAGGCAGCAGUAGGGAAUCUUGGACAAUGGACGAAAGUCUGACCGAGCCAUGCCGCGUGAGUGAAGAAGGUCUUCGGGUCGUAAAAUACUGUUGUCGGAGAGGCGGUAUCUACCCAGAAAGCCACGGCUAACUCCGUGCCAGCAGCCGCGGUAAUUC